RNAcentral lists this ribosomal RNA (448 nucleotides) under uncultured bacterium. RNAcentral describes it as "bacterial SSU rRNA". It matches the Rfam family "Bacterial small subunit ribosomal RNA", at positions 330 to 792 of the family's 1533-position model. The record is from RNAcentral.
UCCAGACUCUUACGGGAGGCAGCAGUGGGGAAUAUUGGACAAUGGGGGGAACCCUGAUCCAGCGACGCCGCGUGAGUGAAGAAGUAUUUCGGUAUGUAAAGCUCUCUCAGCAGGGAAGAAAGAAAUGACGGUACCUGACUAAGAAGCCCCGGCUAACUACGUGCCAGCAGCCGCGGUAAUACGUAGGGGGCAAGCGUUAUCCGGAUUUACUGGGUGUAAAGGGAGCGUAGACGGCUAUGCAAGUCUGGAGUGAAAGGCGGGGGCCCAACCCCCGGACUGCUCUGGAAACUGUAGAGCUAGAGUGCAGGAGAGGUAAGUGGAAUUCCUAGUGUAGCGGUGAAAUGCGUAGAUAUUAGGAGGAACACCAGUGGCGAAGGCGGCUUACUGGACUGCAACUGACGUUGAGGCUCGAAAGCGUGGGGAGCAAACAGGAUUAGAUACCCCUGUA